UCCUCUCUCAAAAACCUUACCUCUUGCCUCACCUCUUGCUCUAUUCUUCUAUAAUGUGAGUUUUUUGCUUCCAAUCCAACAAAUUGGGCGUGAAUAUAAGGCUCUUAUGCAAUGGAAACAGAAAAUUAGAGGUUGGAUAAUUUUUUUUUUACAAAUUGCAGAAUUUUUUGCUUGUAGAAAUUCUGAAAGUGCUUAGAAAUUCACUCUCUCUCCACCAUUAUUCUUGUCUUUUUCAGGUAACUUUUAUCCCCAUUUCUUUUGCUUUCUAUGUUACAAAACGUACUUGGAUGUUCAUAAAUAUUUACUUCACAAUUUAGGUUUAGAAUAAUUUGUGAACUUUUUAAGUUCGACAGUAGUACUUUUUAGUUUCAAGGAUAUAAUACAGUAGAUAAUGAUGUUUUGGGUAGAUGAAAAAUUGAUACUAUUUUAGGGUUCAGAUUUCAACUGGAAUGUUCUUAUUAGGGAUUUCCCCAUUCACACUUCAGUCGAUUUUAGGGAUUAGAUUUCAACUGAAAUUUUCUUAUUAGGGAUUUACCCAUUCACACUUGAAUCGAUUUUAGGGAUUAGAUUUCAACUGGGAUUUACCUAUUCACGCUUCAAUUUCUUGUUGAUAUGCUUUAUCUCAUAAACAUGAUGAGUUUGAUUGCAGUUUUUUUGGAUCUUACUUUAAGAUUAUUGAGUGCAAGUGACAGAUUCUAACUUUGAAGUUCUUUGUUGGCUAUCUCGACAGUAUUUCUACAAGCUAUGUAUGUUUUUUUCCCUUGGAUAUAGACUAUUAAUAUAAUGUAUACUGAAUAUAUUAUAUAUGUACAUCUAACAUACAAUCGAGUACUCAUUCUUAACAUUUGUUUGUACUUAGCUCACUUCUUAACUUUGAUGCUUGUUUUCCUUUAAUUUCUUCUCUAAGCAUUGGAAGUCACAACAUAAACUAGAGAAACAGGAUAUUAUCAUUAAUGAACCUCUUGUGUAGUAUUAGGACUUCUUUCGGUAAUUUUUCUUAUUGAACUUUGUAAUGUGAUUAACUUCGUGAAUCUGAAAUUGUCUGUUGUUCCUUCCGAAAAGAACAAUCAUCUCUUUAAAUAUUUCUUUGGCUAUUCUGAUAGUUAGCAUUCUUCAGUUAGUCUGUUAUAACUUAAACAAAUCAAUUUUCUAAGUACAAUUGAUUAUCUGUGCUUCAAAAUAUUGAAUAGGGAUUGCAGUGCACUAUUGGAACUGAUUGAGGAAUAUUUAUAUUCUUCAAAAGAGCUAAAUGAUGGUUAAAGUUCAUCUAGUUGACUAUUAUUAAUCUCAAAAGGAAAAAGCUGAUCUAAUUGUUGUCAUGUUCUGUUUGUAGUUUGGCCUGUUAUAUUAAUCAUGACUUCUUGUUGUUUUCAGAUUUCAAGUACUAAUACUUAUUUGACAGAAGAAUUAAAUAAUUUGUCUAUUUAGCUGGGUUGAUUGACAGUGAGCUGCUUUCUUUCUAAAGUUCAAUAGAAAUGAAUUAUGUGGUAAUUUGUGAAGAGCCUAUGAUGAUGUGGAAAGACGAAUACCUAACUAAAGUAGAUAUAAAUAAAUAUAUGAAGAGUUACUGGAAAUUGCUUUUCCUUUUUUUUGGUGAAUGAUGGGUGUAUUAUUUGUUGCUCUAAGAAUACUUAGCAAUCUUUUGAGUCGUUCAGAUCUAUAGCCUUAGCUUGUCUUUUGAAUUUCUUCCAUUCUCGUUUGUACCUAAUCUAAAUGAUAGAGUCUGAUUGUGUGAUUUGAACUCCAGUUAAGCAUUGUGUGAUUUGAAAUUUUAAAGUCUUCUUUUUAAACUCAACUUGUUCUCCCCUUUAGAAGGCAUUUGAUUGUUUUUAGCUCUUUGUUUUAUUCCUCCUCUGUUCUUGGUUUUUGGUUGUUUUUCUGUUGUAACUUUGCACUGUUAACAUUAUAUAGUAGGAUUUUACCUAAACUUUAUUUUUAGCCACAUUUUAGAGGUUUUUGCUAAGUUAAAAGUCAACUGAUGACAAACUCUAUAUGGCUUUCUUUCAUAAUUAAUACACAGGUGUUUGUUAAGGCUCUUCAAAGUUAUUUCCUGGACAAUAUUCAUUUUUCUGGUAAGACUAUUCGCCAAUAUUAUUCCCUCUUUAUAACAGAAAUGCCCGUUUAGGUCAUCAUUUACUUUCUCAUGUAAGCAACACUUAUUUGAUUUCUUUGAAACUGGUUACUUUAUGCAGUGAUGUGGAGUGAACAUGUAAGAAUUUAUUCUUAUAUAUACUAUUGAUCAAUGACUUCUUAUAUAGUGCAGUAUUAUACUAUAAGAAUUCUUGUAGUACUAAUCUCAUAUAGUAAGAAUUUAUACAGUGACUUCUUAUAUAGUUUUUAUAAUUUUUUUACUUGGUAAACAAAAAAGAAGGCAUUCUGAUGUCAACCUGUUAUUCCAUAUAGAAGGCAUCCGAUGUCUUAUUAAAUAAAGAAUUGUAAUUGUCGUGUUUAUUUCAAUAUUAAAUAGGAAUAUGGAUAAUCUAGAGGUUGGAUAGCCGAGGUGGUAAUACUUCCAGUUUCAUAACAGGUGUGAAUAAGUUUAUCCAGUUUGCUUGUUCUCAGCGCAAUCGCAUGAGUGGUGACAAUGUUAGAUGUCCAUGUAAAAAAUGUGACAACAUGAAAUACAUGGAUGUCGAAACCGUUGAAUUGCACCUUUUUCUGUAUGGAUUUGUUGAGAACUAUUUUAUCUGGAAGUAUCAAGGGUAAAUAAUGUGACUAGUGAGAUGUCUUCUAGUGGUGAUUUUCAUGGUGGGUCUCAAACCUGAAUUGGGAUUAAUUCCAUUGGUAUGCUGCUUAUCUUCUCUCCGAGCAAUUUCAACUAAUUUAGGAACAGUUAACAAAUUAUUUGAACAUUUUCGGAUCCGUAUCAAUACAAUGAUAUGCAGAAUUACAGCCUUGAACUUAAAUUGUCAAAAAUGUACAAAGCUUCAAAGGUUUCUUGCUGUAGAAACUCUAGAAAAUCUGUAACAUGAUUGAAGUAGUAUUUCUUAUUCUGGCUUUAUACUAUGUCUGCUCUUUCUUUUGUAUUAGAAAAAUGUACUCAUGUGAGUUGCCACUGGGACUCACACGGGUGGCUCUAUCAAUGUAGGGGAGUAUCGCAAGAGACUUGUAAGUGUAAACAUCGAAAAAUCUCAUUUAAGUUUGCACUAAUCCGAAUUUGAAAAGUGUGUCUAGCUUGAAGAUAGCAGUUGGUUGAAGGAAUUUUAGUUGUGUUUCUUUUAGACUUAAAGGUAGGAACUCAAUCUUGAUGCUACAUGAAUUGGCAGUACAUGAGCGCUACAUUACCACAUAUAUAAUUGAAAAUUUCGAGAUGCUUUGUCUCUUCAGAAUGGGAUAUGAGGCAAAAAUAGUUGGUUGUAGUUGUAGAUAUGAGACAUGGAUGGAAAUCAAUGUUUUUGGUUCACAAGUCAAAGAAGAGCAGAUGGGGUGAUUGAAGAAUUCAUGAGUUAUAUUAUGGAUGAACAGAGAGUAAUAUUUUCUCUAUGUAAUUUUCAAUCUCAAUUGUACACAAAAAUUUCUUUUGCCAAUCUUCUGAAUUGAGUAACUUUUGUAUAGGCUGUUGAAAAGGGUUGAGAUCCAACACCAAGUGAGAUGCAUUUGCACGUCCAUACACAUAGUCAUGAUGGAACAUCUUUUGUUGGUGAGAAAUCCCAAAUCGUACAUGAAAUAUUACAACAAAAAACAUUGACUCAGUCUGAUGUUGAUCAGUGUCAAGCAUAUUAUCAAGCCGCGGGAGGAGAAAAGAAAAGAAGAGUAUAUAGUCUUGGAUCUUAAGCAAAAUGCUAGUAUGGGUAGAAUCUCCGCGAUUCUUUUGGAUUCGAUGCUACAUCUUCAGGAGCACCUCCGAAUGCUCAAUCAACACCAACAGGAAAACUGGAUGAGUUUGUGAUGCGUUUGAUUCCUGUAUUGACAGAGCAUAUAGUUUAUGUGAUCGUUGAGCGGGUACGAGGAUUAGUUUCUUCGCCCUCGCAUCAGCCAAAUACUGAUCUUACCAACCACCCAUCAGUUGUGACACCUACAGUUCCUACCUCUCCUACUGCUGCUAACUUUGAUGAGGUUCAUGCAUUGGGUUCUGAUGAUUAAAGAAUGGAAUUCCGCUACCCCUAGCAAAGUAACCUGAACACUGAUGGAUGUUGUUGAUAUGCCAUAACCCACUACCCAAUUUGAUUAGAAGAUGCAGGAGGACUAAAGGAAAAUUGCACAGACCAGGAAAUAGUUAGCCUCUUUUGUUUGACCCGUGACACUUCAGCCUCACAAUAGUCAGCCUAUUUUGUUUGGAUUUGGUGGUGUUUGUGGAUGGUUUGUACUUAACGAUACAAUUAUAUGCAUUAUGCUUUAUCUUUUGGACCUUGUUGAAUAUUAAUAUAUAUGAAUAUCGGUUACUUUAA
Molecule: long non-coding RNA, 4388 nt
Organism: Lycium barbarum (goji berry)
Lineage: Eukaryota; Viridiplantae; Streptophyta; Magnoliopsida; Solanales; Solanaceae
Exons: 2
Source: RefSeq, a predicted model, not a curated record